GAGGGAACCCGGGGAACUGAAACAUCUAAGUACCCGGAGGAAGAGAAAGAAAAAUCGAUUUCCUGAGUAGCGGCGAGCGAAAGGGAAAGAGCCCAAACCAGAAGAUUUAUCUUCUGGGGUUAGGACUGCAUAAUUGAUUCAACGAAGAUAGGAGAACGGUCUGGGAAGUCCGGCAAGACAAGGUGAAAGCCCUGUAUCCGAAAUCCAAGUUGACAUGGCAGUAUCCAGAGUACCACGAGACACGAGAAACCUUGUGGGAAUGAGCGGAGACCACUCCGUAAGGCUAAAUACUACUUAGUGACCGAUAGCGCAUAGUACUGUGAAGGAAAGGUGAAAAGGACCCCGGGAGGGGAGUGAAAGAGAACCUGAAACCCUGUGUUUACAAGCUGUCGAAGCACUUUAUACGUGCGACGGCGUACUUUUUGUAGAACGGUCCGGCGAGUUAUGACAUGUGGUAAGGUUAAGUACUUCAGGUACGGAGCCGAAGCGAAAGCGAGUGUGAACAGCACGAAGAAUCACCUGUCAUAGACCCGAAACCGGGUGAUCUAUCCAUGUCCAGGAUGAAGCUGCCGUAAGAGGUAGUGGAGGUCCGAACACACAUCCGUUGAAAAGGGUGGUGAUGAGGUGUGGAUAGGGGAGAAAUUCCAAUCGAACCCGGAGAUAGCUGGUUCUCCUCGAAAUAGCUUUAGGGCUAGCCUAUGUUUAGUCUACCGCAGGUAGAGCACUGAAUUUCCUAGGGGGCGUCAAAGCCUACCGAAGAAUAUCAAACUGCGAAUGGCGGAGAGAUGAUGACAUGGAGUCAGACUGCACGAGAUAAGUUGGGUGGUCAAAAGGGAAAGAGCCCAGACCUACAGCUAAGGUCCCAAAGUAUGUGUUAAGUGGAAAAGGAUGUGAGAUUUCGAAGACAACUAGGAUGUUGGCUCAGAAGCAGCCAUUCAUUAAAAGAGUGCGUAAUAGCUCACUAGUCGAGAGGUCUUGCGCCGAAAAUGUCCGGGGCUAAAACACAACACCGAAGCUUAGGAAAUCGUCCAUCCUACAGAUGGCCGACGAAGAAAAUCCAUAAAUGGAAGAUUUUCUUCGGUUAUGUGUAGGGUGGAUGGUUUGGUAGAGGAGCAUUGCUGACAGGAUGAAGCGGUACCGAUAAGGAGCCGUGGACAGUCAGGAAGAGAGAAUGCCGGAAUGAGUAGCGAGAUGAAAGUGAGAAUCUUUCAGGCCGAAUAUCUAAGGUUUCCAGAGUAAAGCUGAUCUGCUCUGGGUAAGUCGGGGCCUAAGGCGAGGUCGAAAGACGUAGUCGAUGGACAACAGGUUGAAAUUCCUGUACUACGAUAUAUCAGAACUGUGGGGACACAGCGGGAAGACAUGAGCCAGAAGAGGAAAAUCUGGUGCAAGCAUAAGAGGAGUCAGAUAGGCAAAUCCGUCUGACAAUCCAACAAUGUGAUGCGGAGCGAACUAAAGUAGUGAAGCGUGUUUACCGGCUGUCAAGAAAAGCCGCUAUUGUGUAUACCGUACCCGUACCGUAAACCGACACAGGUGGAUGAGGAGAGAAUCCUAAGGCCGGCGGGAGAAGCAUUGUUAAGGAACUCGGCAAAAUGACCCCGUAACUUCGGGAGAAGGGGUGCUCACGGAAACGUGAGCCGCAGAGAAUUGGCCCAAGCAACUGUUUAGCAAAAACACAGGUCUAUGCAAAACCGAAAGGUGAGGUAUAUGGGCUGACGCCUGCCCGGUGCUGGAAGGUUAAGAGGAGAGGUUAGAGCAAUCGAAGCCUUGAAUUUAAGCCCCAGUAAACGGCGGCCGUAACUAUAACGGUCCUAAGGUAGCGAAAUUCCUUGUCGGGUAAGUUCCGACCCGCACGAAAGGCGUAAUGAUUUGGGCACUGUCUCGACAAUGCACCCGGUGAAAUUGAAAUACCAGUGAAGAUGCUGGUUACCUGCGCCAGGACGGAAAGACCCCAUGGAGCUUUACUCUAGCUUGAUACUGGGAUUCGGUAUUGCAUGUACAGGAUAGGUGGGAGACUUUGAUGGUAUGACGCCAGUCGUAUCGGAGUCGAUGUUGGGAUACCACCCCUGCAGUACUGGGUUUCUAACCUGCAGCCGUUACCCGGCUGGGGGACAAUGUCUGGUGGGGAGUUUGACUGGGGCGGUCGCCUCCGAAAGAGUAUCGGAGGCGCUCAAAGGUCUUCUCAGAAUGGUUGGAAACCAUUCGCAGAGUGCAAAGGCAUAAGAAGGCUUGACUGCGACACCGACGGGUGGAGCAGGUAGGAAACUAGGACUUAGUGAUCCGGUGGUAUGAAAGUGGGAUUGCCAUCGCUCAACGGAUAAAAGCUACCCUGG
Molecule: ribosomal RNA, 2330 nt
Filed under: bioreactor metagenome
Description: bacterial LSU rRNA
Rfam family: Bacterial large subunit ribosomal RNA
Source: RNAcentral